Long non-coding RNA from Haliotis rufescens (red abalone), 776 nucleotides. RefSeq lists it as uncharacterized. NCBI's taxonomy places the organism in Eukaryota, Metazoa, Mollusca, Gastropoda, Lepetellida, Haliotidae. The transcript is spliced from 4 exons. The record is from RefSeq and is a predicted model, not a curated record.
ACCACAACUCCACUAGGACAAGCGCUGAGAAGGUGAACGUGGAGAUGUGGAGCGUCCGUCAGCUGGAUGGCACAUGUCAGGGGUCUCGGGUAUCGGUGGCGUCACAAGAUCAAACGACGUAUCUAUUUCCGGGUCAGCGCGUGCUGCAAAUACGACCUGCCAGCAGAGCAGACGACAGUGUCGCAGCGUUGAUGGCGUUGCGGGUCGAGGGAGGGAACACGCUCCAGAGGCGAAAAAAAGGUUGAAUGGGCAGCCAGAUAUCGGUUACAGUCAAAUACAAAGAUUACAUUAAUGUACGGACAAUCCGAGCCAUGCUGCAGUUGCGGCUUCAGGUACUCAUUCUGCUGAAGAAUGUCACUUGAACAGCCUCCAACCCCUGGGAAUAUUAUACCUCAGCGAAAUGGUCGUUUUUUUAUAGGACCACUGUUAAAUCGCUUGCAACAGAAAUCUUGAAAAACAAACAAAAAAUGAUAAUAUUUUGUGAGGUCUGUAUUUUGUCACAUUUUAGACAAAUGUCAAGCCAGCAUUACACUUGUCAAAAGUAAUGUCACCAAUUACAACUGUGGGUUGUCGAGGCUCAACCUAUCGGGGUCAUAGCAUUAGUUGGUGUUUGAUGCUCAACUUAUCAGGAUCAUAGCAACAGUAGGUGUAGGCAUUUUGUAGACGAAGUUUAAAUAUUGUGUGGACAUACCCCGGCGUACCAUCAACUCAUCAAAGGCCCCAAUCAGUCAUAAUACUUUUGUUUAUAUUGCUAGCUUCACCCUUUUGUUCAUAUU